RNAcentral lists this long non-coding RNA (284 nucleotides) under Hordeum vulgare. RNAcentral describes it as "long non-coding RNA (HVUL_LNC013274)". The record is from RNAcentral. Lineage: Eukaryota; Viridiplantae; Streptophyta; Magnoliopsida; Poales; Poaceae.
UCUCAUUUUAAUAUAGCUAGGCCGCCUGACUAAUUUCGUCGCGAUCGGAGUCCGUCUGGUACCCGAACGGUCGACCGUAGCGGCACCGUAUUCGGUCUACCGUCGGGAUGUUUUAAAACACGUUGCCGCGCCACCCGUUUUCCCUCUCGUCUCCGGAUUACUGCUCCACACAACCCACUAGUUCCACCUAGUCACUUCCUCCGUUCGUGGUCAUCGGAUCACGAUCGGACGGACGAGGUCCACCCCACCAGAGACCAACCCUAUAUAAGUAACACCCCCUAGAG